Molecule: long non-coding RNA, 695 nt
Organism: Odontomachus brunneus
Lineage: Eukaryota; Metazoa; Arthropoda; Insecta; Hymenoptera; Formicidae
Exons: 4
Source: RefSeq, a predicted model, not a curated record
AUAUCGCCCGUAUAUUGACAUGUCGUCGCGGCAAAGUGAGACACGCAUCAUACCGGCACAGUCGGAGAGUUACAUUGAAGAAGCGAUGGAAAUUCCAACGGAGCGCACUCAUACUGUGGGAUAAUAAGUAGCUGUCCCGGCAAAAGGGUCAAAACUGUUCCGACGAAAAGGCAAAAACUGCUCUAGGUCAUAUCUUGACGCGGAGACGAACGUAUCGUGCUGGGAUCUUCGUGAGCAGUGGCGGCGACGUGAACUUCGAGAUACUUUUUGUUACAGAUUUGUCAGAGGCUGCAGUCGCACGAAGGGUGCGGCUCCCGGGAUGGUGCAAUCUAGGUGGACGCGAAUGGCGCAUCGGAGGAUCUGGGCCGAGCAAUGUCGGCUCAAAGAUGUGCGGCGUGAAACGUGGCCGAGUUUUUGAUCUUUGCGAAUCAGCGAGUCAGAAAAGUGAGUAGAGAGAAUGAUUUAAAAUUCUUUAUAAAAUUGGAAUUAUGAAACUCUCGUCCAACAUUACGAUUUAUUUGUAGAUUUUUGUAUAUAUGUGUUGUCCAACAAAUUACACUACUCCGAGCAGUCAGGGAAUUUUUUGUUUAAAUAUAUUGUUUAACAUGGCUAUUUACACGGCUGAACAAUUCGAUAUAUAUUUUUAAAGAUAUUUAGUUACAAUAUUUCUUCUUUUGAAAGAAAUUUAAAACAUU